CCUACGGGUGACAGCAGUGGGGGAUAUUGCACAAUGGGGGAAACCCUGAUGCAGCGACGCCGCGUGAGCGAAGAAGUAUUUCGGUAUGUAAAGCUCUAUCAGCAGGGAAGAAAAUGACAGUACCUGACCAAGAAGCCCCGGCUAACUACGUGCCAGCAGCCGCGGUAAUACGUAGGGGGCAAGCGUUAUCCGGAUUUACUGGGUGUAAAGGGAGCGUAGACGGUUAUGUAAGUCUGGAGUGAAAGCCCGGGGCCCAACCCCGGGACUGCUUUGGAAACUGUGUAACUGGAGUGCAGGAGGGGCAGGCGGAAUUCCUGGUGUAGCGGUGAAAUGCGUAGAUAUCAGGAGGAACACCGGCGGCGAAGGCGGCCUGCUGGACUGAAACUGACGUUGAGGCUCGAAAGCGUGGGGAGCAAACAGGAUUAGAUACCCUUGUAGUC
Molecule: ribosomal RNA, 440 nt
Filed under: uncultured bacterium
Lineage: Bacteria
Description: partial 16S ribosomal RNA
Rfam family: Bacterial small subunit ribosomal RNA
Source: RNAcentral